Molecule: ribosomal RNA, 695 nt
Filed under: uncultured Staphylococcus sp.
Lineage: Bacteria; Bacillati; Bacillota; Bacilli; Caryophanales; Staphylococcaceae
Description: bacterial SSU rRNA
Rfam family: Bacterial small subunit ribosomal RNA
Source: RNAcentral
AGUCGAGCGAACAGACGAGGAGCUUGCUCCUCUGACGUUAGCGGCGGACGGGUGAGUAACACGUGGAUAACCUACCUAUAAGACUGGGAUAACUUCGGGAAACCGGAGCUAAUACCGGAUAACAUGUUGAACCGCAUGGUUCAACAGUGAAAGACGGUCUUGCUGUCACUUAUAGAUGGAUCCGCGCCGCAUUAGCUAGUUGGUAAGGUAACGGCUUACCAAGGCAACGAUGCGUAGCCGACCUGAGAGGGUGAUCGGCCACACUGGAACUGAGACACGGUCCAGACUCCUACGGGAGGCAGCAGUAGGGAAUCUUCCGCAAUGGGCGAAAGCCUGACGGAGCAACGCCGCGUGAGUGAAGAAGGUCUUCGGAUCGUAAAACUCCGUUAUUAGGGAAGAACAAAUGUGUAAGUAACUAUGCACGUCUUGACGGUACCUAAUCAGAAAGCCACGGCUAACUACGUGCCAGCAGCCGCGGUAAUACGUAGGUGGCAAGCGUUAUCCGGAAUUAUUGGGCGUAAAGCGCGCGUAGGCGGUUUUUUAAGUCUGAUGUGAAAGCCCACGGCUCAACCGUGGAGGGUCAUUGGAAACUGGAAAACUUGAGUGCAGAAGAGGAAAGUGGAAUUCCAUGUGUAGCGGUGAAAUGCGCAGAGAUAUGGAGGAACACCAGUGGCGAAGGCGACUUUCUGGUCUGU